AAUAACCUUAUUUUCGUUUUUCCAUAUCUAACGUUUGACCAUUCGUCUUAUUUGAAAUUUUUUUGCGAUUAAUAUUUUUAUUAUUAUUAGAUGAUAAAAUAUGAAUAGUAUUUUAUACGUGACAAAUUUUUUUAAGUUUUUGUACAAAUUUUUUAAAUAAGACGAAUGGUCAAACCGAAAAAUAAACUUAUUGCAAGACGGAGG
This is a non-coding RNA of Oryza brachyantha (malo sina), 204 nucleotides long. The record is from Rfam. NCBI's taxonomy places the organism in Eukaryota, Viridiplantae, Streptophyta, Magnoliopsida, Poales, Poaceae.